This 250-nucleotide ribosomal RNA is filed under the name uncultured bacterium. RNAcentral's name for it is "partial 16S ribosomal RNA". It matches the Rfam family "Bacterial small subunit ribosomal RNA", at positions 524 to 773 of the family's 1533-position model. The record is from RNAcentral.
UACGGAGGGUGCGAGCGUUAAUCGGAAUUACUGGGCGUAAAGGGUGCGUAGGUGGUUUAUUAAGUUAUCUGUGAAAUUCCUGGGCUUAACCUGGGCGUGUCAGAUGAUACUGGUAGACUUGAGUAUGGGAGAGGGUAGUGGAAUUUCCGGUGUAGCGGUGAAAUGCGUAGAGAUCGGAAGGAACACCAGUGGCGAAGGCGGCUACCUGGCCUAAUACUGACACUGAGGCACGAAAGCGUGGGGAGCAAAC